RNAcentral lists this long non-coding RNA (297 nucleotides) under Eucalyptus grandis. Its description in RNAcentral is "long non-coding RNA (EGRA_LNC002830)". The record is from RNAcentral. Lineage: Eukaryota; Viridiplantae; Streptophyta; Magnoliopsida; Myrtales; Myrtaceae.
UCACUUUCUUGAUUCGUCUCCGGAGCAUUUGUCAAUCUUUGUAAAUCAUGCUUCAGCUCAUUAAUUCUGGUUUUUGCAUUAUAUAGCCUCUGUUUACUCCAAACUUCGAGUUUUUGUGCUACUAUCUGCAAUUUCUCCACCAUACACAAGUUUUGAGGUCCCAAUUCAGCCCAAGUAGUUCUAACGAGGUGCCCGCACUCCUCAUUUUCAGACCAAAAUGCCUCAUAUCUGAAAGCUCUCCUUUUCCUCUUCCUUCGUACAUUUAAAGAUACUAGUAGCGGGCUGUGGUCCGACCCG